CCUGGGACAGCCUUGGGGGCUGGAAUUGGCAGCAGCUGGAGGUGGCCGGAGACAGCGGAGGGAGGGGAGUAAGCUGUGGACAUGGUGGGGUGGUCCCUCUUCAGCUUUUAAGGGCCCAAGAGUGAGUUCCUCUGGCUGCUCCAGAAAGUGAAGAGAGAAGAGCCAACCCCGGCUCGGGCCACGAGCCCCGAGGCGCUGACCACAGCCAGAGCAGGCCUGCUGGAAGCUCCGUCCCUGCUGCAGAUCCCUGCGCCACAUGAUAUCAGCAAUUGCUGCAAUUUCGCCCUAAGUACUCUUGUUUCCCCUAAUAAUCCACGUUUCAUCUCCACAAUAAACAUUGUUAGAACUCUU
This is a long non-coding RNA of Homo sapiens (human), 351 nucleotides long. Ensembl annotates it as TP73 antisense RNA 2. Its record names the gene TP73-AS2. NCBI's taxonomy places the organism in Eukaryota, Metazoa, Chordata, Mammalia, Primates, Hominidae. The record is from Ensembl.